UGAGUGUAGUCUGGCCCAGGAGUGUGAAGGUGAACGGAAAGGCUCUGGAGCAACGAACCGCCCUUGCUGUCUCUGCCUGGCCGGUUCCCCUCUCUCCACUGGGAUUCUCUUCCUCUAACCCUAUUACAGGGGCUGAGUCACUGGCUUACUGGUGCUCUUCCAUGCCGUCCCUAGGAGGAGUGCGUCACUUGAGUGAGUCACUGAUGUGAUUUUCCUGUCCGGGUUGGCAUCCCCCUCGGGUUCAUGCCGUGGGGGAAAUCUUUGUGGGCUAUACUCAGCCUUGUCUCAGGGUAGUAAGUUGGUGGUUGAAGAUAUCCCUCUAGUGAUGUGGGGGCUGUGCUUUGGCAAAGUGGGUGGGGUUAUAUCCUGCCUGUUUGGCCCUGUCUGCGGGUAUCACCGGACGGGGCCACAGUGUCUCCCGACCCCUCCUGUCUCAGCCUCCAGUAUUUAUGCUGCAGUAGUUUAUGUGUCGGGGGGCUAGGGUCAGUCUGUUAUAUCUGGAGUAUUUCUCCUGUCUUAUCCUGUGUCCUGUGUGAAUUUAAGUUUGCUCCCUCUAAUUCUCUCCCUCUCCCUCUCCCUCCCCUCCUGGAGGACCUGAGCCUAGGACCAUGCCUCAGGGAUACCUGGCCUGAUGACUCCUUGCUGUCCCCAGUCCACCUGGUUGUGCUGCUGCUCCAGUUUCAACUGUUCUGCCUGCGGCUAUGGAACCCUGACCUGUUCACCGGACGUGCUAUCUGUCCCAGACCUGCUGUUUUCAACUCUCUAGAGACAGCAGGAGCGGUAGAGAUACUCUGAAUGAUCAGCUAUGAAAAGCCAACUGACAUUUACUGAGGUGCUGACCUGUUGCACCCUCGACAACCACUGUGAUUAUUAUUAUUUGACCAUGCUGGUCAUCUAUGAACAUUUGAACAUCUUGGCCAUGUUCUGUUAUAAUCUCCACUCGGCACAGCCAGAAGAGGACUGGCCACCCCUCAUAGCCUGGUUCCUCUCUAGGUUUCUUCCUAGGUUCUGGCCUUUCUAGGGAGUUUUUCCUAUCCACCGUGCUUCUACACCUGCAUUGCUUGCUGUUUGGGGUUUUAGGCUGGGUUUCUGUACAGCACUUUGAGAUAUCAGCUGAUGUAAGAAGGGCUAUAUAAAUACAUUUGAUUUGAUUGACAUACAAAUGAUAAGACACACACUCUACACACACGUACACAUGUUGGUCUGAGGUAAAACACUAAAUGUAUUGUAGUUAUGUGGUCUGAGGUAACACACUAAAUGUAUUGUAGAUAUGUGGUCUGACGUAAAACACUAAAUGUAUUGUAGAUAUGUGGUCUGACGUAACACACUAAAUGUAUUGUAGAUAUGUGGUAGUAGUGGUCUGAGGUAAAACACUAAAUGUAUUGUAGAUAUGUGGUAGUAGUGGUCUGAGGUAACACACUAAAUGUAUUGUAGAUAUGAGGUCUGAGGUAAAACACUAAAUGUAUUGUAGAUAUGUGGUCUGAGGUAACACACUAAAUGUAUUGUAGAUAUGUGGUAGUAGUGGUCUGAGGUAAAACACUAAAUGUAUUGUAGAUCUGU
This 1560-nucleotide long non-coding RNA is filed under the name Salmo salar (Atlantic salmon). RNAcentral's name for it is "lncRNA (ENSSSAG00000102322.1, ENSSSAG00000103955.1)". Lineage: Eukaryota; Metazoa; Chordata; Actinopteri; Salmoniformes; Salmonidae. The record is from RNAcentral.